RNAcentral lists this transfer RNA (63 nucleotides) under Laimosemion frenatum. Its description in RNAcentral is "tRNA-Tyr". It matches the Rfam family "tRNA". From Rfam's summary of the family: Transfer RNA (tRNA) molecules are approximately 80 nucleotides in length. Their secondary structure includes four short double-helical elements and three loops (D, anti-codon, and T loops). Lineage: Eukaryota; Metazoa; Chordata; Actinopteri; Cyprinodontiformes; Rivulidae. The record is from RNAcentral.
UAAGAUGGCUGAAAUAGUGGUGGAUUGUAGCUCCACACAUAAAGGUUAAAAUCCUUUUCUUAU